UUUUUCCGAAUACCAGGAGGUUUUAGGCUAAAGCCCGUAAUCUCCCAAGCCCAAAACCACAUGUAUUAUUAGUUUUGCCCCAAACGUCACUCGAACUGACGACCUCUAAGCUUUGCCUAGAGUCUUUACCAAUUGAGCUUGGUUCUUUAAUGUGGUUUACACUGAAUUUAUUUUAGUGGUAUGUGAUGUUUUCUUUCUAUUGGAUUUAAUUCCUAGCGGUUCAUGUUCAGUGGUCUUAGGAU
RNAcentral lists this small RNA (242 nucleotides) under Arabidopsis thaliana (thale cress). Its description in RNAcentral is "ATSL260720". Lineage: Eukaryota; Viridiplantae; Streptophyta; Magnoliopsida; Brassicales; Brassicaceae. The record is from RNAcentral.